This is a long non-coding RNA of Trifolium pratense (red clover), 6933 nucleotides long. RefSeq lists it as uncharacterized. The record is from RefSeq and is a predicted model, not a curated record. NCBI's taxonomy places the organism in Eukaryota, Viridiplantae, Streptophyta, Magnoliopsida, Fabales, Fabaceae. The transcript has 10 exons.
UUCUAUAUCACUCACAAUUUUGAUCAGCUGCCAUUGUGAAAGAUGUGAACAUUUGCAAUGAUGAAUUGUGUACUUAGUAUAUUAUGUUCAGCAUGCCUUCAAAUCCACUUAUAACUCAGUAAUGCUGAUGAAUUUGUCAUCUGAUUCCUUUGUAGAUGCCACUGAACCUUUGAUGAUUGAGGUGGAUCAGAUUUACCAUCGUGUGUGCCCCGCACCUCCUAUUUUCUACAAAUAUAAUCCUGUGAACACAAUAAAGACAUAUGUGAUUGGCACUCUGAAGUCUGAACAUGCUUGGGCUUGCAAAACGAGUUGGAGCAAGAUUAGGAAUUUUUCUUUGGGAAUAAGAUUUAUGAUUUCAGCUUCUGCCAUCAGCUGGUCUUAGUUUUGUUUUUCUUGGCGUGGAAUCUUAGUUCUUAUUUUAUUGACAGAAUUUUGCUUACAUCAACUUCGGAGGUAUAUGGGGAUCCUCUUGAGCAUCCUCAAACUGAAAACUAAGAUAAACCCUAUUGGAAUGUGCUUAACCCUAUUGGAGUUCGUAAUUCAUGGUUUUCUGUUCACAUUAAUUUCCUCUCAUUCUCUGUAGGUAUAUACCCUGUGUGUUGUCAGCAACUUCAUUGCUCAAGCACUGCGUGGUGAAUCCUUGACGGUCCAAUCUCUUGGAACGCAAACUCGUAGUUUCUGUUAUGUCUCUGACCUGGUUGAUGGUCUUAUCCGUCGCAUGGGAGGAUCGGACACCGGUCCAAUCAAUCUUGGAAACCCAGGGGAGAUAACCUCUGCAUGCCCCUGGAACCUGAGGCAGGCAGAGGUUCUCAUAUUAAUUUGUGCUUUAGGAACAAUAGUGUGAAGCAUUCGCUUAAGAUGAAGAAUUCUGGACAGUUUGGUUUGACACUUUUUUGUUAUGUUGAUCUGCUGAUUCCUAUUUUGACCAUCUCUAGUAAAUUCCUUUAGUUUCAGUAUUUCAUUGUUGUUGAGAGCAUAUAUUUGUUGAUCUGUUAUUUUUCUCUUUGGUUUUGCAGGAGAUGUACAAUUCCUUCGGCUUCUAUGUUCCUCUUGUUUGAUCUUUUAUGUUUUGUUUUCUCACUAUUUUUUCGCGGUUACCUUGGUUUCGAUCUUGAAGUUUGUUGUUCUUAUUUUAAUGAUGAUCUGCAGCUAUUGAAGAGUUGUUUGGAUUUUAAUUGAUUGCUCUUCCAAAUUGUUUCUGGUUCAUUAUUUUGUAUGAUAUUUAGAUAUUCAUUCAUCCAUUUUGCAGCGGGCUUCUGGUUCUAUAUUUUGGAUGAUCUUCAUGUUUAAUAUUUGGUGCAACAUGUACAUGUUUGUUGCAUAUUGCAUUGUAGUGUGGUUUUGUGGGACUCUCUUUGUAAUUAUGACCUUCUCAUCAGCGAUUUUGUAUGGAGAAUUAGGAUACUUUUCUUUCUUUUAUUUGUCAAAGUAGUUUUGCUGUACAUGUAUGUAUCACCUGGUGUUCACAGUCCCAGAAGUCUCAAUCACACUUCACCUUGUCAAUUUUGUUGUGUUGAAAAUGGAGACGAGUGCCUCUUCCCCUUUGUACUAGAAUCUUGUGAAUAAUUAAUAAGUACACAUGAACCUCAUGUUUUGCUGGAUGUGGUAUAUAUUUUCAAUUGUGGCUGAGCUUAAUCUGGCAAUCUGAUGAUUUUUAACUUCCUCUGCGCUUUGUACUAUUUCUGCAUGCAUGCUUCUCUCAUUCUUUCUUGGGAUAUAAUUGGUCGUUUUCUUACUUCUAUGUAUUUGUUCCCAAAUGAUAGUUCUUUAAUUGCGUGCAAGCUGGUGUUGAAGCUGUUUAUUUCAGUAUCCAGAACCUGAGUAGUACUCUGUCAUAAGAGAUUAUCAAGGACAUAUUCUUGCUUUGGUGUUACAAGGGAGAGAGCCUGUGAAUGUUUUUGCUUUGGUCAAUUUUCCUUAAAUCGACUUGGUGGGCCUCUCUUUGUACUGCUGAUCCACAUUGAUUUGAAGAAUUUUGCUACUAUUACAUUGGGUGUGUCGAAUAGUUCCAGCUGUAAAAGGCUUAAAUUUGGUCAUUUCUACUACGGCAUGGUUUAUUAUUUUGGCUUCCUGCUUCUGAGGUUUUAUUUGGUUGUUGUUGGUUUCAAACUAUUAUUGAGUUUGUUAGGUUUUUCGUCGACUUAUUUUCUAGUUCAUCUUUUGUGUCAAAUAUUAUUCUUCCUUAGAGCAUGUACAUAUCAUCAGUGUUUUGCUUUUAAUUUUUUUUUUUUUUUUGCAGCAUGCUAGACUUCUGAUGUGAAUUUUAUUUUUUGAUGUGUUACUAGUUUGGGCAGCACGCCUCAUUUUUAACAUGUAGUCUGGAGAAAUUUGGACAGUUCUGUGGGACUCUCUUUGUAAUUAUGACCUUCUGAUCAGCGACUUGGUUUGGAGUAUUAUACUACUUUUCUUUCUAUUUUCUUGGUUUAUUCUACAACUAAUUGUAACAGUAAUUUUGUUGUGCAUGUAUGUAUCACCUGGUGUUCACAGUCCCAGAAGUGUCAAUCACACUGCACCUUGUUAAUUUUGUUGUGCUGAAAAUGGAGAUAGUUCCUCUGCGCUUUGUACUACCCGUGUCCUGUGAAAUAAUUAACAAGUACACAUGAACCAUCAUGUUUUACUAGAUGUGGUAUAUAGUUUCAACUGUGGCUGAGGUUAAUCUAACAAUCUGAUGAUUUUCAACUGCCUCUGCGCUUUGUACUACUUCUGCAUCCUUGCUUCUCUCAUUCAUUCUUGGGAUAUAAUAGGGCUUUCUCUCAUAUGUGCGAGCUGGUGUUGGAGUUUUCGUGUGUCAUCUAGUGUGGAAGUUGUGUUUCAGUAUCUAGAACGUCGGUGCUACUCUGUCAUAAGUUCUUUGAUCGCGUGCAAGCUGGUGUUGAAGCUGUGUGUUUCAGUAUCCAGAACUUGAGUACUACUCUAUCAUAAGUGCAAAAGUUUACAUGAUUCUUGAGGAGUUGGGAUAACUUGGUGGUCCUCUCUUUGUAAUGCUGAUCUGCAACUUGGUUUGAAGAAUUAUGCUACUAUUCUUCUUGUUUAUUUUUCUACAACCUAUUUUCCACGGCGUAAUUGUUCUGAUAGUGUAUCAUGUGGUAUUGGCAGAGCAAGUUUUACAUGGGUUUGGUGUGUUACAAAAGUCUUCAUCUUUCGCAAUCAACCUACACCUUUCAAUUAGCUGCCUGGAAUGUAGAACAUUAGAGAUGAGUUUCUUUGCCGCUUAGUACUACUUACCUUCUGUGAAUAAAUUAACAAGGACACAUGAAUCAUUAUUUCUGAUGGCCUGGUUAUAUAUUUGCUAGGCUUUAAUUUGGGUUUCUCUUCUCGGAAUAUGAAUUAUUUACAUUUCAUUAUGUCCGUUUCAGCAUCCCUGCUUCUUUUUUCCAUUGUGAAAGCUUAGAGAGAGGUUAUCACAUCCCUUUGGUUUUGCAUUUCUUCUAGUGUUGAAGUUUUUCUGUGUUUCUAUCCGGAACAUCAGUUUUACUCUGUGGUUUUGCAUACAAGCUUCCGGAGUAACUCUUCCCUUCCCAAGGAUGAGGAGUUUUGGUCAACUUGGUUAGGUGUUUGUUAUGAUGAUUUGAACAUAUAGAGAUAAUAUUCUUCUAGUGUUAUUUUCGUUGUUAUUUUGUAUUUAUGAUGUGUACUCCUAAAAUGAUAUCGUCAUUGUUACAGUGGCUGGCUCGAGGACUUAUCUGGUAUGGCAUAUGGCAAGAUAAAACCGGUAAUUUGGCCUGUGGCAGGCAAGCAGAGGUUAAAACAGUAAUUUUUGCAUAUCUGUUUCUCUUUUGAUGGUGUGUCUGCUAGUGUUGGAUUUCUUAUUUUCUUUUUGUAUCUACCACUUGUGCCACACUAUGUUGGUCUCUUGUUCUGUUAAUUUACCACUUCCUUUGUUAUGAUUCUUUAGGCUAUUCUUGUCCACUGUGAUAUAUGAAUCUUCUCUCUCUCAAAUCGGUCUGUCACAACGAGGAAGCCUAAAAAAUUGUCAUUUCACAUGGAGCUCUGCAAUUAACUGUGGCAUAUAUUCGCAUUGUUGUAUUUUGAAGCAUUUGGUGAUUUUUAUUUUAACUAUGAAUUCUUCAUGUUUCUGUCUCUUGAAUUUAGUUUUUUUAACAUACUUUCCAUUCAAUUCAGCUUUGGGAUCUUUCAUGUUUUUACGUAGUAUUUUCUGCAUCUUGCUAGUCUUGGUGAUUUUGUGUUCUGCAAGAGGAACGUGAGAAAUGAAGCAUACAAGAUUCUAAAGUAUAUCUUUUCACACUCCCCUUGAAUGAGGAAUCUGGACUUAAUUUUAAUUAAGCUGCUUUGGCGUGUUUUACUUGAUCGGUCUGGUAUAGGUGGGAAGCUUAAAUUUGGUAUCAUUUAACACGGAGGACCAGAAUUUCCAUUUGGUUGUGACAUAAGUUCUCAUUGUUGUUAUGCUUUCAUUUGGCGAUCUCUACUUGACUAUAAAUAUUGCAUGGUUCUCAUUGUUGUUAUGUUCUCAUUGUUGUUCUUUGUCAGGGGGAAUAUGGAUUGUGUGAAGCUGUGGUGGAGAUUAUCAAGGACAUGGACUGUGAAAGCACACUCUACUUUGGACUUAUAGGGAGAUAGCCUAUGAAUGUACUGUGGGAUUGAAAGUUGCGACGAUGGGCCUCGCUAUAAAAUGGGUUAUGUUCCCCCGUAACUGUACUUGUUCAUGAAAGUCGUUGUCUUUGAGAUGGUGUUAUGUGGCGAUGUUUAUUUUUGUGAUUUUAUCAGGAAUUUUCCAUACUAAUAUGAUGGGUAGAGAACAACAAACAACUCUAGAUAAAUCCAGAUUUUUCUAAUAGUUGUUCUCCAUUAUUAUUUUUUCAUUGGUUUGAUCGCAUGUAUUAUGAAACCUAUUUUCUGUUGUGUUGUAGAUUUCUUCAAGAACCAGUUUUGUCUGCAGUGUGGUAGUUCUUCAUAGCAUAGCUCCUCGAGAUUUGAUUAAUUUAUCUCUAUUGAAUUCUAUCUUUCCCAUGAUUGUAUUCUAUAUCGUUGGUGGUUUUGGUUUUUGCUUCUGAAUUUUUCUUUUCUUGAUUUCUUAAACCUAAUCAAGUUGUUUUCCAUCUUUGUUGGUUUCAGCCUCAGAGUUUAUUGUACCUUCAAUUAGUUGUGGCUUAUCCAUAAAACUCUUUUGAAAGGGAAGGAAAGGUUGAAAGUUGAAUUCGUGAAAAUCUGUCAUUCUUUACCAACAUAAUCAUCCUAAGUCAUUGCAUCCAAAUUAUACAGUGCAGUAAUUAUAUCUUGAAUAAGAUGGCUUUUUUUAAAGAAAAAAACAAAUAAAGGAUGCGGUGCCUGGGUUUCUUGGACAUGUGAGUUUUGUGAUACUUCAUUCACAAUCAUUGGCUCCAGGUAAAAACCUUUGUUCAUUGAAUUUUUUGGUAUCAAUUUUUCAGGCUAUGAUCGCAGCAUGUGUAUUGAAUUAUAUGAACCUGUUUUAGGCAGAUUGUGUGUUGAAUAAAGGUAGUUCUAUGUAAUCAAGCCUUAGUUUAAUUUGCUUAUAAAAAAAAAAAAAAACCUUAGUUUAAUUUGAUGACCUUUACUGGAUUAUAAGUUACUUUUAUUUGAGUAUUACUCUUUCUAUUUGUAUUAUAGGUUCUUUCCAAUUUCCUCAUUUAAGUUCACUUGGAUGUUUCAUGAGAGAUAAAGCUAUGAAUGUGCAACUGUGGUACUGGCAGAGGUUAUUCUUCCAAAUGUGCAGUGUUGGUUUAAUUCACCAUUUACACUCUCAAAAUGUCCAGAUGGUGAAUUAAAAGAGUGUAAAUGGUGAAUUAAAAAUAAUAAUAAUUUGGUCAUCUGUUUUACGACUUCAUGUUUCAGCUAUGUUUGAUACUCAACAUCUACUUCUGCUAUUCCUUUGAGUUUUCUGUGUGGAAGAGAGGUUCACAUACUUUAUGUUCAGCCUUCGGAUGAAACAAUUUUUUUACUUACUUCUGCGUAUUUGUUUUGGGAUAGUGUUGAAACAAAUAUCCGCUUGGUUUGGUACUUUUUUGUCCUGUUGAUUUGCCACUUUCUUUGUUAUAAUUAUUUAUUUCUAUUUUCUUGCCAUUAUUAAGGAAAUGAUUGGUUUGGAACUUUAUUGUUCAGUUGACCAUUUGCCACUUUUUCAUUCUCUUGACUAUUCUUUUAUGGAUUGGUUAUAAAGAAUUGUUUGCCUAGCUUUUGGAUAUAGUUCUUCAUUAGAUAAUUGAGUUGUGUUUAUCCAUUUUGCAGUGAGUUAAAGUCUUUGGAUAUAUGUAGAACAUUUUGCGAUUCUUUCUUAAAUGCAUAAGAACAGAGAAGGUUCCAGAUAAGUCAAUUUUCUUCAACGACUCAUUCUUUAUCAAUUUUAUUUCUUUGCGUUUAUGGCAAAGACAUAUGAAGUGAACGGUGAAAAUGUUUUUCUGCAGCGCACGACUUCUUCAUAGCAUGGAGCCUAGAUUUUCAUUUGGUGAUCUCUAGUAAAUUCUUUUUGUUUCAAUGUUUAUUGGUUCUGAGAGUAUAUUUUUCAUGAUUUGUUAUUUAUUCUUUAUGUUGCAGGAGUGGAUGAUAUGAUUUUGAUUUACGUAUUGAUAUGUUUCUCUUAAUAUUUCACACCAUCAAACUUCUCUCUUCGUUUAUUCAUCAAGGUUUUGUUUUGUAUAAUUUUUUGAUAUAAUUCUUCGUUUCAUAAUUGAGAGAUGCGUUUAUCCAUCCAAUGUCUAUAAUGACUUGACGCAAUGGACAAGAACGGAAAGCGGUUCCAUAUACAAUAGUUUUGUGCGUUUCUUCAAUAUGAGUCGUUCUUUACUAUUUUUACUUAGUUUUGUGCAUUUUCAAAUUAAUAACUUUCCUCGUAGCAUGGAGCUUAGCGUUUUGAUUUGGUGAUCUUUAUUAAAUUGUUUUUGUUUUCAAUAUUUCGUCUUGUUCUAUAUUCCUUUUGUUUGAUCUUCAUUUUCUGUAUUAUUCUUUUCUGAUUGAUUA